This 482-nucleotide ribosomal RNA is filed under the name uncultured bacterium. RNAcentral's name for it is "partial 16S ribosomal RNA". It matches the Rfam family "Bacterial small subunit ribosomal RNA", at positions 30 to 507 of the family's 1533-position model. The record is from RNAcentral.
AUUGAACGCUGGCGGCAUGCCUUACACAUGCAAGUCGAACGGUAACAGGUCUUCGGUUGCUGACGAGUGGCGAACGGGUGAGUAAUACAUCGGAACGUGCCCGAUCGUGGGGGAUAACGGAGCGAAAGCUUUGCUAAUACCGCAUACGAUCUACGGAUGAAAGCAGGGGACCGCAAGGCCUUGCGCGGACGGAGCGGCCGAUGGCAGAUUAGGUAGUUGGUGGGAUAAAAGCUUACCAAGCCGACGAUCUGUAGCUGGUCUGAGAGGACGACCAGCCACACUGGGACUGAGACACGGCCCAGACUCCUACGGGAGGCAGCAGUGGGGAAUUUUGGACAAUGGGCGAAAGCCUGAUCCAGCCAUGCCGCGUGCAGGAUGAAGGCCUUCGGGUUGUAAACUGCUUUUGUACGGAACGAAAAGACUCUUUCUAAUAAAGAGGGUCCAUGACGGUACCGUAAGAAUAAGCACCGGCUAACUACGUG